RNAcentral lists this transfer RNA (69 nucleotides) under Anisopteromalus calandrae. RNAcentral's name for it is "tRNA-Ser". The record is from RNAcentral. Lineage: Eukaryota; Metazoa; Arthropoda; Insecta; Hymenoptera; Pteromalidae.
AAUUAUUUAACUUAUUAUAAAGUCUAUGUUUUGAAUACAUAAGAAAGAAGUAUAUUCUUCUAAUAAUUU